Molecule: RNA transcript, 1746 nt
Organism: Salvia miltiorrhiza (redroot sage)
Lineage: Eukaryota; Viridiplantae; Streptophyta; Magnoliopsida; Lamiales; Lamiaceae
Gene name: F-box protein SKIP23-like
Exons: 3
Source: RefSeq, a predicted model, not a curated record
ACGUGCACAAGCUUCAACACGUAGUUUCUCGGAAAUUCCAACUCUCCUUCGCCAACACACACUGCAGCAAAUUCAAAAUCCAAAAUAAUAUUCUUCAAUUUUUCCUCGCUUCAAUCUUCAAUGGCGGAUUGGUCUACCCUCCCGGCCGAACUCCUCCACCUCAUUUCCCAGCACCUACCCACCUCAACCGACGUCCUCCGCUUCCGCUCCAUCUGCGCCAUCUGGCGCGCCGCCGUCCCUCCUCCGCCCUCCUCCGUCGCGCGCUUCCCCGUCCUCCCCAAUUGCGGGAUCUCCGACACCAGCUGGGGCUUCUACCUCUCCAAACGUACAAUCUAUUCCCUCCAAUCGCCGCUCCCCGAUCAAUCCUCAUGGAUCAUCAAAUUGGAUCGGGACAACCCGGCGCGAAUGCGUCUUCUCAACCCGCUCGAUCGAUCUCAAUUCAAGUCCUUCCCGAGCGCCUUCCCGAAGCUCUUCAGUUUCUUCAACAUUAGGGUUAGAGAAUUGGGGGAGGAAUACGCGCUGCAGUAUAUCAAUUUCAGGCCGACGGCGAGCUCGAUUGGGGAGGCCGGGAAUCUCUACAUGGAGAAAGUCGCCGUGUUGAACAAUGGCAGCAGCGGCGGCUUCGUGCUCUUGACAAUUCACGUUUCUGGUAAAUUGGUGGUGUAUAAGUCCGGCGACGAGAGAUGGAGGCUCAUUGAUGAUUUGCCCUCGCCGUACGAUGAUGUGAUCCUCUGGAAGGGGAAAUUCUACGCUGUCGAUAACACCGGCCGAAUUGUUGUUGUCAACACUGUGGAUUUGAAUGUGAGCGUUGCUGCGAAUUCGAUUUUCGGUGGUGACAAGAAGUUGCUUGUGGAUUCUGAUGGGGAUUUGUUGGUGGUAGAUAUGUAUCUAAGCGUUGAGCCAGCUGAUGACCUAGGUUUCAAUGAGGGGCUUGAGUUUUACGAGGAGUUCGACUCGUUUAUGAGCGAGAGAACUGUGAAGUUUAAGGUGUUUAGGCUGGAUGAGGAAGGUGAGAGAUGGGUAGAGAUCACUAAUUUAGGGGAUAUAAUGCUGUUCUUGGGUGAUAAUUGCGCGUUUUCAGCUUCGGCUGCAGAGGUUUUUGGUGAUGAGAAGUGUAGGGGGAACUGCAUAUUCUUUACAGACCAGUAUUGCAAUAGGGAGGACGAGGGGGGGCUCAAGGCUCGUGGCGUUGGAUUGUUUGAUUUGGGGAGUGGGAGUAUCGGGCCUGUUGAUAGCCACAUUGGCUAUUCAAAGAUGUUUUGGCCCCCUCCCGAUUGGGUUUAUUCAACCGCGUCUAUAGAAGCUGGGUUGGAGCUGCUGAAUAUUCGAUGAUGGAAAGGGGAUGGUUUUGGCUCGUUUUGUAGCCGGUUGUUAACUCACAUCUCUGAUGUUUUCUUGGCUCCUAUUAUAUCUUUCUUGCCGGUCGACAUAUUAGUAAUUCUGCAAUUAGGCCAAGAGCAAGAUGACACUACCAUCAUUUUAAGGUUUCAAAUGCCUGCAGUACGGGUUAGUGUUCGUCUCAUCUCAUCGUGUCUUAGUGUUUGCCUCUUCUCUUCUCCUCUCAUCAUGUAGAAUAGAGUUUUUCCCUGAUUCAUGACAAACCCUCAGAUUUUCUAGGAUGAAAUUUGCUUGAAUACAUUAAAUUCCAGCAACCACAAUUAGUAAUCAACAAGCUGUAGACUACCCAAGUUCAGUGUUGAAAUUACAUAACUGCGGUAAAUAAAUAAACCUAAUUUAUCUUGUCAA